AUAUACGGUUAGAACGGUUACGGU
RNAcentral lists this non-coding RNA (24 nucleotides) under Arabidopsis thaliana (thale cress). Lineage: Eukaryota; Viridiplantae; Streptophyta; Magnoliopsida; Brassicales; Brassicaceae. The record is from RNAcentral.